This 956-nucleotide ribosomal RNA is filed under the name Enterococcus faecium. RNAcentral's name for it is "partial 23S ribosomal RNA". It matches the Rfam family "Bacterial large subunit ribosomal RNA", at positions 12 to 968 of the family's 2925-position model. Lineage: Bacteria; Bacillati; Bacillota; Bacilli; Lactobacillales; Enterococcaceae. The record is from RNAcentral.
UAAGGGCGCACGGUGGAUGCCUUGGCACUAGGAGCCGAUGAAGGACGGGACUAACACCGAUAUGCUUUGGGGAGCUGUACGUAAGCUAUGAUCCAGAGAUUUCCGAAUGGGGGAACCCAACAUCUUUAAUAGGAUGUUACGAUUGUGUGAAUACAUAGCACAUUCGAGGUAGACGCAGAGAACUGAAACAUCUAAGUACCUGCAGGAAGAGAAAGAAAAUUCGAUUCCCUGAGUAGCGGCGAGCGAAACGGGAAAAGCCCAAACCAGCAAGCUUGCUUGUUGGGGUUGUAGGACUCCAAUAUGGUAGUUCUUUCAGAUAGUCGAAUGACUUGGAAAAGUCAGUCAAAGAGGGUAAAAACCCCGUAGACGAAAUGUGGAAGACACCUAGGAGGAUCCUGAGUACGGCGGAACACGAGAAAUUCCGUCGGAAUCCGGGAGGACCAUCUCCCAAGGCUAAAUACUCCCUAGUGACCGAUAGUGAACCAGUACCGUGAGGGAAAGGUGAAAAGCACCCCGGAAGGGGAGUGAAAUAGAACCUGAAACCGUGUGCCUACAACAAGUCAAAGCCCGUUAAUGGGUGAUGGCGUGCCUUUUGUAGAAUGAACCGGCGAGUUACGAUUGCAUGCGAGGUUAAGUUGAAGAGACGGAGCCGCAGCGAAAGCGAGUCUGAAUAGGGCGUUUGAGUAUGUAGUCGUAGACCCGAAACCAUGUGAUCUACCCAUGUCCAGGUUGAAGGUGCGGUAAAACGCACUGGAGGACCGAACCCACGUACGUUGAAAAGUGCGGGGAUGAGGUGUGGGUAGCGGAGAAAUUCCAAACGAACUUGGAGAUAGCUGGUUCUCUCCGAAAUAGCUUUAGGGCUAGCCUCGGAAUUGAGAAUGAUGGAGGUAGAGCACUGUUUGGACUAGGGGCCCAUCUCGGGUUACCGAAUUCAGAUAAACUCCGAAUGCCAUUCA